UCCCUCGCCGCCGGCCGGCCGGCCACCCCGCCACCCAACUCCCUCGCCGCCGCCGGACAGCCCCUCCCACCCAAUCCCCUCCGCUCCCCUGAUUCCCCUAGACGUCCGCGUCAAGAACCUCCUCCCGGUCGUGGAGCGCCUCCCGUCCACAUUCCUCGACGCAGCUGUCUCCCUCCACCUCCCGCAAUCUCUGCCUCGACGCAGCACUCGUGCGCGACGGCCGCCAUGUCUCCCUCCGCCUCCCUCGCUCCCUGCCUCGACGCAUCAGACCUGGGCUACGGCCCAAGCCGCAGCAGCAGAGGCCAGUGCUGGAGGUGGAUAACCCCCUCCAUAGCCACCGUGGCUCGCCCCCGGGGAGACAUGGACGACGAGAUGGUGGUUGCCUUCCCGGAGAUGCGGCCUCCGGCAACCUCCCGCACAACCUCCACGACCUGCGGCCGCCGGCGACGUCCCCGAUCCGCUGCUGCCGGAGACCCCACUCCGUCCCUAGAUUUGCCGUCGGCAGGCCACCUCCCCAACUCGCAGCUGCUCGCAAGCAGACAAGCAGUACUAAUAUAGGAGCGCGGAAAAUGUAGAACUCUUGCAUCUGGACUUGGAGGAGGAACACAUUGAGGACCUUGCUUUGUUAGAUCCAUCAUCGUCCUCGGACUCCAUGAAAUAUCCUGUUGAAAGUUCAAACUGAACAAAGUUUUGCACCAUGGGUGCUUAGAAGCAAAAGACCAAUGGUGGUAAAAGACGGUGUUUCUGCUGCUGCCGCUGUGUUGGUCGAAACACGUGGCUAGCUCGGUCAGCGGCGUCGGUGGGAUGAGGAUGUCGAGAAUGUGAAGUGCAGAUGCAAACCGCUGGAGCUGGCAUGGACAAGAAAGAAGACAACAUUGUUGGUAGCUCUGUGAGUUGAAUGUAUCGUCUCUGCACUAGAGCUUCCUAGCAGUUUGGUUAAUGCAGCCGCAAGAGUAGCAGGCAGCGGUGUCCUUAGCGAUACACCAUUAGUUGAAGUGGUAUCCACCACUAUGGCAACGGCCUUCUCGUAGAUCGCUCCUACCGCAUCUCUCAAUCCCCUUUCUCCAGUCAAUUUGCUGACAUCGCCGUAGCCUCUCGAUGCUACUCCCUGCUGCUCACCCCACCUCGCUGCUCAGCUGCCGGCCACCCAACCACACCCACCCAACUCCCUCGCCGCCAGACACCCCCACCCACCCAAUCCCUUCUACCCCUGAUUCCGGCGUGUCCGCCAUGCCCAAGACGUCAGCUUCAAGAACCUCUGCCUUGUGCUGGUCCUCGCCAUCCGAAGCACCUGGAGCUGGGCGCCCCUGUCUCGCCCACCAUGGUGCCUCCUGUUGACCUGCGGAGCUGCUGUUGCUCCUCCGCGUGCCUCCCUGCCCUGAUGCAGCAAUCGCAGGCAAUUACACAAGCAGCAGCCAAGACCAGCGCUGGAGGUUGAGGACCUCCUCCGCAUCGUCCGCAUCCUACCUCCGUGGAGCUCACUGCAGAGAUGCAAGUGGGAGGAGAUGGUCCUCGCCUUCAUGGAGUUGCAGCCAUUGUCGGUGACCUUCUGGAAAACCUCCCCGAGCUGCGGCUGCUAGCAAUGUCCCUGACUUGCUACUGCCGGUGACCACUCUGUCCCGCCACCGUUGGCCACAUCCCAAUCUCGCAGCUGCCAGGAUCCUGUUGAAAGUUCAAUCUGAACAAAGCUUUGCAUCAUGGGUGCUGAGAAGAAAGAGACCAAUGGUGGUACAAGACAGUGAUGCUGCUGCCGUGUUGGUUGAAACACGUGGCCAGCUCGGUCAUCAACAGCGGCGCGGCAGGAUGAGGACAUCGAGAAUGUGAAGUGCAGCUGCAAGCCGCUCGAGUUGGCAUGGACAAGAAAGAAGACAUCAUUGUUAGUAGUUGUGUGAGUUGAGUGUAUAUGAGCACUACAACUGCCUAGCAGUUUAUUUAAUGCAGCCGAAAGAGCAGCAGGCAUCAAUGUCCUCAGUGACAAGCUGGUAGUUGAAAUGGUAUCCACCACUACAACGAUAGACUUCUCGUAGAUCGGUCCCACCACAUCUCUCCCUCAAUCUCCUUUCUCCACUAAAUUUGUUGUCACCGCUGCAAUCUCUUAGUGCUGCUCCCCGCUACUCAUCCCACCUUGCCGCUCAGCGGCCGGCCACCCCAGCACACCCACCCAACUCCCUCGCCGCUAGACACCCCAACCCACCCAAUCACCUCCGCCCCUUGCUUCCCGUGCAUCCUCCAUGCCCAAGACAUCGGUGUCAAGAACUUUCGCUUGGCGCUUGUCCUCGCCAUCCGGAGCGCCUGGAGCUGGGCGCCCCCGUCACGGCCGCCAUGGCACCUCCUGUUGACCUAGGCUGCCGGCACCCCUUUGCCCCUCCCUGCUCCGAUGUGCCAGUCGCGGGCAACGACACAAGCAGCAGCCGAGAUUGGCGCUGGAGGUGGACUCCACGGCGUUCGCGUCCUGCCUCUGUGGAGCUCGCUGCAGAGAUGCAAGGGGGAGGAGAUGGUCAUCGCCUUCAUGGAGCUGCAGCUUCCAUCAGCGACAUUCUGGAAAACCUCCCGGAGUUGCGGCCGCCAGCAACGUCCCCGACCUCUUGCUGCUGUAGACCGUUCCGUCCAGCCGCCGUCGGCCACGUCCCAAACUUGCAGCUGCCAGUGGGCCACCUGAGGAUGCUGUGGAUAUCUCCUCCCUGACAAGGGUGAACCAGGCACCAUCUACCUGCUCACCACCGGUGCCAUGGAGAGCCCUUGCAGAAUUCGGGUGUAUCAGUGUGUAUUUCUUGCUUUAGGGUCGAAUGUAGAGCCAUUUAGGCUAGAUUGUUCUACUCUUUUUGAGGGUGCAGGUUGUUCAUGUAGUUUAUCUCUUUCUUGAACAUUUAUGAGUUGCCUUAUGAGGAUUAAGUGGGAUUGUCUUGUUAUAUUUGUUUUGUUUUGUUAGGCCACCUCCAAAUAGAAUAUACACUCGUACACUCCCAAGUCCCAACCAUGUAAUUUUGGCUGAACCUGUGAGGUAUAUAUGCCUGUUUCCUUUUUAUGGAGAAAUUUUCCAAGAACCUUGGUAAUGAAACUAGAAUUGAUUAGCUAGGUUAACUGCUAGUUUUCUCUCUUCAUUAACUGCUGAUUUUUUCUUGAAUCGUCCAUAUGAGAUGGAUCAUGAACUGAGCAGUAAGCAAUGGAUCAGUCUACAUGUGACUUUUGGAAUUGAUAGUGGCAGUUUCAGUUUUUUGUUGUUGUUGUGAUCAGCUCAAAAGCAAAUGCUUGUUAUUUGUAUGGGAAAUUAGAAUUCCACAAUGACAGUACUGUAUCGUUGUCAAGUUGUUGAUUAUUCAUUACAUCAGGUUUGUUGGUAAAUAUAUUUGUUGUAGCAUAUGUGUAGCUAUUGUUGUGUUCUUGUGAUGUUUAUUUAAAUCUGAUAAGGAUAUAUACUUGUUUGAAAGUUAAAUUCCACAAUGCAUGUGUAGUGCAAUACUGAAAUUCACAAAAACAUGUGUUUCCUUAAAAUCGAGUUGGUCUAUGUUCUAUUCAUUUAGGUGUGUCGAUAGUCCAUGUUUUUGAUUCAUAAUAGAGUAACAGUAAUGCAUUUUCACGGCUUCCCAUUCCUCCCAUUAUAUUAUUAUCUAGUUUGUUACUUCUAUUGAGAUACUGCCAUUUUUUGUUGUUGUUGGGAAUACUUAAGUGUUGCUUCUAAAUCAAUUCUAUUGUUGGCUAUGUUGAUGCCCUAUAGAGUAAUUAUUAUAAUUUAUCCACACUGUUGUUGUGCCAUGUGACUCCCAACGGUUUGGUGGCAUAUAGUGUUACUUUACAGCCACUAUUUAGGUGGGUAUGGAUGACUGCAUGGUCUCUUUUUUAAUUACUAAUGGAAUGCAUUGACACCUCUGUUGUAUUAUAAUGAAUCUCUCUUGUCGAUCAUGUUAUCAUGCCGUUGUCCUCCAGAAAGUAUUUGGUGUUUAUCUUAAGCAUUCUGUGUCAUGAUACUAUUGUGGCAUGUGCGUUUUGUAUCAUUUUAAUGAAUGACAUAUCCGGGCGGUAAACUGCUGUUGCAAGCUCAAGUGUUUUGCUAUUGUUGUCUUCUUAAUUCUACAUCCUUUCGUUCUAAUUGUUCAAUUCUCUUAUCUAGUAUGUAUGUUGAACAAAUAACUACUUUUUCUGUAGUUUACUUGCUCUAUCAAUGAUUGUCCUGUUACUCAUCCUAGUCAACUUGAUAGUCUUUGGCUUACUACUUGAAUCAGGAAAUCGUUAGUCAUGUGGUGCCUCUGAAAACUACAAAUGUUAAGGUUUUAAAACAACAAAUUAUCUCAUUAGUUUUGCCAAUGCUUAUGUUUGUUUACUCGGUUUGCAGCGGGCCACAUGAGGAUGUUGUGGACAUCUCCUCCCUGACCACCGGUGCCACGGAGGUCCCAUACAGGAACAUCAAGACCAUUGCUCCCUCUAUGAAUCGACCAGCCAUUUUUUCUCCCUGUUAAUGGUCGUCCAAGAUAAGACCUGACGCUCCUGAUCGAUGCCUUGGUUUUCAUACAUCUGGCCACUGGGAGUACUGGGGCAGUAUGGUUGGGCAUAUCUAGGCUGGAUACAUGGGAAUGAGGCGACUUCCAAGGCACAUCGCAACUGUUUCUUGUGUCGUGGAAGUGAACAUUUCUUCUCUGUUGUCCUGUCCUGUCGGUAAUUGGCGAGCCAAGCCUCUUUUGUCAGUGGUAGCUGGACGUGAUGCUGGAGCUGUACAUAGUGCAGUCAACAGAUUGCCGUGGUGCUCGCAAAGGGGGAAGUGGAUUCAGCUCUGAUGCAGGGAGGAGUUGAGCUGCCAGGAGGGAGCUUAUUCUUGAAUCACUUUUCUUGUGAUUAUAAUGUUCCAGUUGAGAAACUUAGAAUCUUUUUCUUGCUGCUAUCCACAUAUCGUGAUUGUUAUUCUUUGUGGUAAACCUACAGGAAAUGGUUUGGUUUCGGCUGUCUCAUGCUUGUUAUUUUCUGAAUAUGGAUAUCAGGUACUGCUGAAUCAAUCUUUGCCUAGGCAGAAGCCAGCACUACAGGGAUAAGGAAUGUGCAGGAAACUGAAGGCGAUGUGGAGACAAACACAAUGCUUGUCCUGAGCGUCCCUUGAGAUAUACAAGGACAUGCUCCACUCUAAGCUGACGCUGGGAGGUUAGCAGCGGGCGGAAGAGGCGGUCGCCGCCGCUAAUAUGUGGUCCGUCUUGACCCGGUGUGCUCAGGCGGCUCUGCUGUGAUUGUCAUGGCUGGUUUUAUACUGGUUGAGUGAUUUCUUGUAAUAUUAAGCAACCUGAUUGUUCGCAUUUUGCCUUUGGUUGAAGUUGUGAGUCUCCGAUGAAUUAUGUGCUGUUAGAUGUCACAAGUGUUGUGUUCUGUGCACUUCUAUUGUCAAGUGUUUUUUGUGUGAUCGAGAUUUCUCAAAAUAUCUGAAUAUAUCAUGCACAAAUUUCGAAUA
Lolium perenne is the source of this 5428-nucleotide non-coding RNA. NCBI's taxonomy places the organism in Eukaryota, Viridiplantae, Streptophyta, Magnoliopsida, Poales, Poaceae. The record is from RefSeq and is a predicted model, not a curated record.